GGGUUGUGAGGUUAAGCGACUAAGCGUACACGGUGGAUGCCCUGGCAGUCAGAGGCGAUGAAGGACGUGCUAAUCUGCGAUAAGCGUCGGUAAGGUGAUAUGAACCGUUAUAACCGGCGAUUUCCGAAUGGGGAAACCCAGUGUGUUUCGACACACUAUCAUUAACUGAAUCCAUAGGUUAAUGAGGCGAACCGGGGGAACUGAAACAUCUAAGUACCCCGAGGAAAAGAAAUCAACCGAGAUUCCCCCAGUAGCGGCGAGCGAACGGGGAGCAGCCCAGAGCCUGAAUCAGUGUGUGUGUUAGUGGAAGCGUCUGGAAAGGCGCGCGAUACAGGGUGACAGCCCCGUACACAAAAAUGCACAUGCUGUGAGCUCGAUGAGUAGGGCGGGACACGUGGUAUCCUGUCUGAAUAUGGGGGGACCAUCCUCCAAGGCUAAAUACUCCUGACUGACCGAUAGUGAACCAGUACCGUGAGGGAAAGGCGAAAAGAACCCCGGCGAGGGGAGUGAAAAAGAACCUGAAACCGUGUACGUACAAGCAGUGGGAGCACGCUUAGGCGUGUGACUGCGUACCUUUUGUAUAAUGGGUCAGCGACUUAUAUUCUGUAGCAAGGUUAACCGAAUAGGGGAGCCGAAGGGAAACCGAGUCUUAACUGGGCGUUAAGUUGCAGGGUAUAGACCCGAAACCCGGUGAUCUAGCCAUGGGCAGGUUGAAGGUUGGGUAACACUAACUGGAGGACCGAACCGACUAAUGUUGAAAAAUUAGCGGAUGACUUGUGGCUGGGGGUGAAAGGCCAAUCAAACCGGGAGAUAGCUGGUUCUCCCCGAAAGCUAUUUAGGUAGCGCCUCGUGAAUUCAUCUCCGGGGGUAGAGCACUGUUUCGGCAAGGGGGUCAUCCCGACUUACCAACCCGAUGCAAACUGCGAAUACCGGAGAAUGUUAUCACGGGAGACACACGGCGGGUGCUAACGUCCGUCGUGAAGAGGGAAACAACCCAGACCGCCAGCUAAGGUCCCAAAGUCAUGGUUAAGUGGGAAACGAUGUGGGAAGGCCCAGACAGCCAGGAUGUUGGCUUAGAAGCAGCCAUCAUUUAAAGAAAGCGUAAUAGCUCACUGGUCGAGUCGGCCUGCGCGGAAGAUGUAACGGGGCUAAACCAUGCACCGAAGCUGCGGCAGCGACGCUGAUGCGUUGUUGGGUAGGGGAGCGUUCUGUAAGCCUGCGAAGGUGUGCUGUGAGGCAUGCUGGAGGUAUCAGAAGUGCGAAUGCUGACAUAAGUAACGAUAAAGCGGGUGAAAAGCCCGCUCGCCGGAAGACCAAGGGUUCCUGUCCAACGUUAAUCGGGGCAGGGUGAGUCGACCCCUAAGGCGAGGCCGAAAGGCGUAGUCGAUGGGAAACAGGUUAAUAUUCCUGUACUUGGUGUUACUGCGAAGGGGGGACGGAGAAGGCUAUGUUGGCCGGGCGACGGUUGUCCCGGUUUAAGCGUGUAGGCUGGUUUUCCAGGCAAAUCCGGAAAAUCAAGGCUGAGGCGUGAUGACGAGGCACUACGGUGCUGAAGCAACAAAUGCCCUGCUUCCAGGAAAAGCCUCUAAGCAUCAGGUAACAUCAAAUCGUACCCCAAACCGACACAGGUGGUCAGGUAGAGAAUACCAAGGCGCUUGAGAGAACUCGGGUGAAGGAACUAGGCAAAAUGGUGCCGUAACUUCGGGAGAAGGCACGCUGAUAUGUAGGUGAAGCGACUUGCUCGUGGAGCUGAAAUCAGUCGAAGAUACCAGCUGGCUGCAACUGUUUAUUAAAAACACAGCACUGUGCAAACACGAAAGUGGACGUAUACGGUGUGACGCCUGCCCGGUGCCGGAAGGUUAAUUGAUGGGGUCAGCGCAAGCGAAGCUCUUGAUCGAAGCCCCGGUAAACGGCGGCCGUAACUAUAACGGUCCUAAGGUAGCGAAAUUCCUUGUCGGGUAAGUUCCGACCUGCACGAAUGGCGUAAUGAUGGCCAGGCUGUCUCCACCCGAGACUCAGUGAAAUUGAACUCGCUGUGAAGAUGCAGUGUACCCGCGGCAAGACGGAAAGACCCCGUGAACCUUUACUAUAGCUUGACACUGAACAUUGAGCCUUGAUGUGUAGGAUAGGUGGGAGGCUUUGAAGUGUGGACGCCAGUCUGCAUGGAGCCGACCUUGAAAUACCACCCUUUAAUGUUUGAUGUUCUAACGUUGACCCGUAAUCCGGGUUGCGGACAGUGUCUGGUGGGUAGUUUGACUGGGGCGGUCUCCUCCUAAAGAGUAACGGAGGAGCACGAAGGUUGGCUAAUCCUGGUCGGACAUCAGGAGGUUAGUGCAAUGGCAUAAGCCAGCUUGACUGCGAGCGUGACGGCGCGAGCAGGUGCGAAAGCAGGUCAUAGUGAUCCGGUGGUUCUGAAUGGAAGGGCCAUCGCUCAACGGAUAAAAGGUACUCCGGGGAUAACAGGCUGAUACCGCCCAAGAGUUCAUAUCGACGGCGGUGUUUGGCACCUCGAUGUCGGCUCAUCACAUCCUGGGGCUGAAGUAGGUCCCAAGGGUAUGGCUGUUCGCCAUUUAAAGUGGUACGCGAGCUGGGUUUAGAACGUCGUGAGACAGUUCGGUCCCUAUCUGCCGUGGGCGCUGGAGAAUUGAGGGGGGCUGCUCCUAGUACGAGAGGACCGGAGUGGACGCAUCACUGGUGUUCGGGUUGUCAUGCCAAUGGCACUGCCCGGUAGCUAAAUGCGGAAGAGAUAAGUGCUGAAAGCAUCUAAGCACGAAACUUGCCCCGAGAUGAGUUCUCCCUGACUCCUUGAGAGUCCUGAAGGAACGUUGAAGACGACGACGUUGAUAGGCCGGGUGUGUAAGCGCAGCGAUGCGUUGAGCUAACCGGUACUAAUGAACCGUGAGGCUUAACCUUACAACGCCGAAG
RNAcentral lists this ribosomal RNA (2925 nucleotides) under Escherichia coli. Its description in RNAcentral is "23S ribosomal RNA". It matches the Rfam family "Bacterial large subunit ribosomal RNA". The record is from RNAcentral. Lineage: Bacteria; Pseudomonadati; Pseudomonadota; Gammaproteobacteria; Enterobacterales; Enterobacteriaceae.